UAACCUGCCCAAGAGAUCGGGAUAACACCUGGAAACAGAUGCUAAUACCGGAUAACAACAGAUGAUGCCUAUCAACUGUUUAAAAGAUGGUCCUGCUAUCACUCUUGGAUGGACCUGCGGUGCAUUAGCUAGUUGGUAGGGUAACGGCCUACCAAGGCGAUGAUGCAUAGCCGAGUUGAGAGACUGAUCGGCCACAUUGGGACUGAGACACGGCCCAAACUCCUACGGGAGGCAGCAGCG
This 240-nucleotide ribosomal RNA is filed under the name uncultured Lactobacillus sp. RNAcentral's name for it is "partial 16S ribosomal RNA". It matches the Rfam family "Bacterial small subunit ribosomal RNA", at positions 122 to 356 of the family's 1533-position model. Lineage: Bacteria; Bacillati; Bacillota; Bacilli; Lactobacillales; Lactobacillaceae. The record is from RNAcentral.